CUUAACACAUGCAAGUCGAACGAUGAAGCCCAGCUUGCUGGGUGGAUUAGUGGCGAACGGGUGAGUAACACGUGAGUAACCUGCCCCCCUCUUCGGGAUAAGCCUUGGAAACGGGGUCUAAUACCGGAUAUUCAGUCUCUGCCGCAUGGUGGGGGUUGGAAAGAUUUAUUGGUGGGGGAUGGGCUCGCGGCCUAUCAGCUUGUUGGUGGGGUGAUGGCCUACCAAGGCGUCGACGGGUAGCCGGCCUGAGAGGGCGACCGGCCACACUGGGACUGAGACACGGCCCAGACUCCUACGGGAGGCAGCAGUGGGGAAUAUUGCACAAUGGGCGAAAGCCUGAUGCAGCGACGCCGCGUGAGGGAUGACGGCCUUCGGGUUGUAAACCUCUUUCGACAAGGAAGAAGCUUUCGGGUGACGGUACUUGUAGAAGAAGCGCCGGCUAACUACGUGCCAGCAGCCGCGGUAAUACGUAGGGCGCAAGCGUUGUCCGGAAUUAUUGGGCGUAAAGAGCUCGUAGGCGGUCUGUCGCGUCUGGUGUGAAAACCCGAGGCUCAACCUCGGGCUGGCAUCGGGUACGGGCAGGCUGGAGUUGCCGUAGGG
Molecule: ribosomal RNA, 600 nt
Filed under: Myceligenerans sp. YIM C395
Lineage: Bacteria; Bacillati; Actinomycetota; Actinomycetes; Micrococcales; Promicromonosporaceae
Description: bacterial SSU rRNA
Rfam family: Bacterial small subunit ribosomal RNA
Source: RNAcentral